Molecule: ribosomal RNA, 500 nt
Filed under: uncultured Glomeromycotina
Lineage: Eukaryota; Fungi; Glomeromycota
Description: partial small subunit ribosomal RNA
Rfam family: Eukaryotic small subunit ribosomal RNA
Source: RNAcentral
CCAAUAGCGUAUAUUAAAGUUGUUGCAGUUAAAAAGCUCGUAGUUGAAUUUCGGGGUCAGUAGUUUGGUCGUGCCACUGGUAUGUACUGGGCUCACUGAUUCCUCCUUCCUGAUGAACUGUAAUGCCAUUAAUUUGGUGUUGCAGGGAAACUGGACUGUUACUUUGAAAAAAUUAGAGUGUUUAAAGCAAGCUAACGCUCGAAUACAUUAGCAUGGAAUAAUGAAAUAGGACGUUCGAUCCUAUUUCGUUGGUUUCUAGGAUUGACGUAAUGAUUAAUAGGGAUAGUUGGGGGCAUUAGUAUUCAAUUGUCAGAGGUGAAAUUCUUGGAUUUAUUGAAGACUAACUACUGCGAAAGCAUUUGCCAAGGAUGUUUUCAUUAAUCAAGAACGAAAGUUAGGGGAUCGAAGACGAUCAGAUACCGUCGUAGUCUUAACCAUAAACUAUGCCGACUAGGGAUCGGAUGAUGUUAAUUUUUUAAUGACUCAUUCGGCGCCUUACG